AGAAUCAACGCUGGCGGCGUGCCUCAGACAUGCAAGUCGAACGCGAAAGUCCCCUUCGGGGGACAAGUAGAGUGGCGCACGGGUGAGUAACACGUAGGUAAUCUACCUUCGGAUGGGGAAUAACAAUCGGAAACGGUUGCUAAUACCGCAUAAUGCAGCGGCACCUAAUGGUGACAGUUGUUAAAGCGGGGGAUCGAAAGACCUCGCGUCUGAAGAGGAGCCUGCGGCGGAUUAGCUAGUUGGUAGGGUAACGGCCUACCAAGGCGACGAUCCGUA
RNAcentral lists this ribosomal RNA (276 nucleotides) under uncultured soil bacterium. Its description in RNAcentral is "partial 16S ribosomal RNA". It matches the Rfam family "Bacterial small subunit ribosomal RNA", at positions 26 to 285 of the family's 1533-position model. The record is from RNAcentral.